AGAGUUUGAUCCUGGCUCAGGACGAACGCUGGCGGCGUGCUUAACACAUGCAAGUCGAACGAGAAUCUGUGGAUUGAGGAUUCGUCCAAAAGAAACAGAGGACAGUGGCGGACGGGUGAGUAACGCGUGAGGAACCUGCCUUUCAGAGGGGGACAACAGUUGGAAACGACUGCUAAUACCGCAUAACGCAUAUUGGUCGCAUGGUCGAUGUGCCAAAGAAUUAUCGCUGAAAGAUGGCCUCGCGUCUGAUUAGCUAGUUGGUGAGGUAACGGCCCACCAAGGCGACGAUCAGUAGCCGGACUGAGAGGUUGAACGGCCACAUUGGGACUGAGAAACGGCCCAGACUCCUACGGGAGGCAGCAGUGAGGAAUAUUGGGCAAUGGGGGCAACCCUGACCCAGCAACGCCGCGUGAAGGAAGAAGGUUUUCGGAUUGUAAACUUCUGUCCUAAGUGACGAAGGAAGUGACGGUAGCUUAGGAGGAAGCCCCGGCUAACUACGUGCCAGCAGCCGCGGUAAUACGUAGGGGGCGAGCGUUGUCCGGAAUGACUGGGCGUAAAGGGCGUGUAGGCGGCUCUUUAAGUAUGGAGUGAAACCCCGGCUUUUAAGGACGGGACUGCUUUGUAGACUGGAGAGCUUGAGUGCGGAAGAGGUAAGUGGAAUUCCCAGUGUAGCGGUGAAAUGCGUAGAGAUUGGGAGGAACACCAGUGGCGAAGGCGACUUACUGGGCCGUAACUGACGCUGAGGGCGCGAAAGCGUGGGGAGCGAACAGGAUUAGAUACCCUGGUAGUCCACGCUGUAAACGAUGAAUACUAGGUGUGGGGGGACUGACCCCUUCCGUGCCGCAGUUAACACAAUAAGUAUUCCACCUGGGGAGUACGAUCGCAAGGUUGAAACUCAAAGGAAUUGACGGGGGCCCGCACAAGCGGUGGAGCACGUGGUUUAAUUCGAUGCAAACCGAAGAACCUUACCUGGAUUUGACAUACAUGUGGUAGUGAAGGGAAACUGGAACGACCUUAGCUUGCUAAGGAGCAUGAACAGGUGCUGCAUGGUUGUCGUCAGCUCGUGUCGUGAGAUGUUGGGUUAAGUCCCGCAACGAGCGCAACCCCUAUGGUCAGUUGCUAACAGGAGAGCUGAGCACUCUGGCGAGACUGCCGCCGACAAGGCGGAGGAAGGUGGGGACGACGUCAAAUCAUCAUGGCCUUUAUGUCCAGGGCGACACACGUGCUACAAUGGCCGGCACAGACGGAAGCGACUUUGCGAAAAGGAGCGGAUCCUCGAAAGCCGGUCCCAGUUCGGAGGGCAGUCUGCAACUCGACUGCACGAAGUCGGAGUUGCUAGUAAUCGCGAAUCAGAAUGUCGCG
Molecule: ribosomal RNA, 1362 nt
Filed under: uncultured bacterium
Lineage: Bacteria
Description: bacterial SSU rRNA
Rfam family: Bacterial small subunit ribosomal RNA
Source: RNAcentral